CCUGGUCUUUCUUUACUAAAAAUGUUAUUCAAUACAAAAGUGUUAUAGUAUUACCUCAAAAUAACCUAGAAAAAGUGAAGAAAAACACUACAUAUGCUGGAAUAAAAUUGUAAAACUAUAUCCCCAAAAUAACUAAUGUCAAAAGAUGUUUUUAUGUAGUAUUCAUUCCUCUCAAUGGAUGAAUUUUAUUAUCUCACCUAGACAGUCAGCAUAAAAAUAGCUUAAACAUCCAUUCUUCUUUUUUAAGUGAUUUUUGAGGGCUUGUAGUGUACCCUAAAGAAAGACGAAUAGUUUUUUUAAAUGUACAUUGAUAGAAAUACUAUUAAUAUCAUGUUAAUAAUAGUUCUGAUUUACUUGAAACUAUUUAUUAUACAGUUCAUUAAAAGCAAAUAAAGAUAUUAUUGAUUUACUGAGAUUGAGAUCAAUUUUGAAACCUUACUGCAUAAAACAACGUUGUCCUUAUUAAAAUAUGGCAAUAAAUUAAAUAUUGAUAACCUUCUAGUGAGGUGAUAAGAAAAUAGAUUAAUUUAAAUAACCAUGUUUAUCAGAAGUAAUAGAAGAAUAUUUUUUUAACUUUAAUUAUUUAAAAUUGAUUAACUACUGUAAGCUAUUAAGAAAUUAUGGAAAUUUAACAGUUUUUUUUUUAAUGCAAGUGGUUACACUUGUCCAUUAAAUCAAAUACCAUUAAAUCUAAACUAAUUAUUUAUAAAAUGUUGCAGGGCCCAGUAUAAGUAGGAAGUAGUCCAUUCAUUCAAAAACUAAUUUCAUUAGAUAAUAACAAGGUCUUCGCAUGUACUUUUCAGUCUUAGUCCUUAUACUACUUAGUAAAAGCACUUAUGAUGUAAUAUAUGAUACAGUUCUAUAGAAUUGUUUAAAUUGAAAGUAGGCAUACAACAGGUAGAUAUUAUUUAAGUGUUCAUGGUUAAUAGUAUAACCUGACUCUUAUAACAUAUUUUGCAGGUGUAGGAGCAUUUAUGAUUCAAAUAAAUGAUAUUUCCAAUACAACAGCUGAGUCUGCCUUGUUACUCUGAUCAAGAAAAUACAUACACAGGUCUCGGAAACCUACUUCGGUCAACAAUUUACCUUAUUGCCCUGAUGAAAAACUAUAUAUGUAUUUGGCUCUCAAAAAUCUACUUUGGUCAAAAAGCAUCUACUUCCGGCUUUUGUAAUCUACUUUCAGUCUGAAUAUUUCUAAAGGCACACCUGAGUCUGCCUUGUUGUCUCAAUUAAAAAUACAAAUAUAUAGGUUUGAGAAACCUAAUUUGGUUACAAGGUGUAUACUUCUGACCAUAUAAAAUCACUUACGAUGCCACAGUUAAGUUUGCCUUGUUGUGACAAUGAAGGAAAUAUACAUACAUACGUCAGAAUGAGAAGCCUAUUAUGGAUUAGGGGGAUAUCCUACCUACUUCCUAUCUUCUUCUAGUAUAAGAGAGAAAUCCUUAUUCAGUUCAUGCAACAUUACAAAAUAAUCAGUUCAAAGAAUCAAAACCUUAUUGUUUUUCUGACUGUAGUCUGGUAAAGAAGGGAUUGUUGACGUAUGUUACUGUUCAUUUCAUUAACAUACCAUUUCUUUUACAUAGUUUUUAUGUGUUCUUCUUUAGUGUGUUUUCCAUUAACCACUGUUAAAUUGCCAUAUUACAAUGUAAAAAAAAUCUAACCAGUUUGGAGUACUUUAUGUGAAAACAUUCACAGCCUUUUUCAUCAAGGUUGAUUUUGUAACAGUAUUUACAAUAGUAAUUACAACACAUUAUAUGUUUUUAAUUAGUAAAUGCCACAAUCUGGAGUAAAAUUUACAUAUUAAUUUUGUAUUUGCUAUCUGCAUUACACUACUGAUCAAGCACUGUAUACCUGAUAUUUUAUCAAAUUUAAAUGUAAACAAAUGUUUCAGCCAAUAUGUCGAACUUUAACUGUAAGUGUCAACAGCUGUUUAGUGUCAGUUAAAUUUGGAUUAUGAGACAUAAAUACUAAAGUUUUUUUCUGAAUUCCAAAAUAUUCCAGAUAACUUUUCUAAACUUUAUCUUCAUAUAAACCUUCCUCGGAUUUUAAUAAAUAUUGUACAAAGAGAAUUAGCUGAAUUGGCCUACCCAUUCUCGAAAUUUACUCUUAGCAACAUAUUUUUUUAUUCAUUUUUAUUUAUAAGCUAAAUUUUAUAAAACUAACUUUACCAGAAUUAACUAUUAUAGUUUUUACAUGAUUUUAUUUAUCGUCGCUUAAGAAACAGGACCGCCUUAAGUGACAUUUUUUGCUGAAAUUGAGUUAUUGGUAUCAAUGGACGCAGAAUUUCUCUGCGGACCGUUUGGCUCUGUUAGUUCAACAAAACUCUAACAGAUAGCGUCACUAUCGCAUUUGAAACAGCCCCGCCUGUCUGCAACCUCAGUGGCAGUACCGCCUAUAUAGCGAGGCAAGCCAUCAGUCAGUAGAUACCGGCUCGCAUAUCGUCACUGUUCUAUUGGAAUUGUGUCUACAUUGUGCAACCUUUGGCGUCAUUAAGAGUACAGUGAUGGAUAGUUCAAGCAAUUCUGAGGAUGAGGGAGGUUUAUUCACAUCGUCAGAGAUCUCAAAAGAAAUGGGAUUUAGUACAUCCACAAUUGAAAGAGCUACUAAGAGGUCACAUCAAAGUUCUUCUGGCAAUGAAAACCACAAUUUAAAGAAGAUUAAAAUGACAAGUGCUGAAGAGGACAUUGUAACAGAUUCUCUCUGCUACCUAAGCACUAUGGAAUUGCAGGAUGUGUCUACCACUUUGAAUAUAAGUGAUAUUGUUGAUACAGCUGUCUCAUCGUGUAGCACGACACAACGUCAGCUCCCUGAUAUUAGAAAUAACUAUUUUGACGUUCAGAAAGACACUUCAAUUGCAGAUUGUGACUUAAGUUUUUAU
Molecule: long non-coding RNA, 2875 nt
Organism: Homalodisca vitripennis (glassy-winged sharpshooter)
Lineage: Eukaryota; Metazoa; Arthropoda; Insecta; Hemiptera; Cicadellidae
Exons: 3
Source: RefSeq, a predicted model, not a curated record